Molecule: non-coding RNA, 72 nt
Organism: Trichonephila clavata
Lineage: Eukaryota; Metazoa; Arthropoda; Arachnida; Araneae; Nephilidae
Source: the annotation of a GenBank genome assembly
AGCAGAGUGCUCCAGUGGAAGCGUGCUGGGCCCAUAACCCAGAGGUCCGUGGAUCAAAAUCACGCUCCGCUU